Molecule: ribosomal RNA, 674 nt
Filed under: uncultured bacterium
Lineage: Bacteria
Description: bacterial SSU rRNA
Rfam family: Bacterial small subunit ribosomal RNA
Source: RNAcentral
CGGGAGGCAGCAGUGGGGAAUCUUCCGCAAUGGGCGAAAGCCUGACGGAGCAACGCCGCGUGAGUGACGAAGGCCCUUGGGUCGUAAAACUCUGUCUUCAGGGAAGAAAAAAAUGACGGUACCUGAGGAGGAAGCCCCGGCUAACUACGUGCCAGCAGCCGCGGUAAAACGUAGGGGCGAGCGUUGUCCGGAAUUACUGGGCGUAAAGGGCGUGUAGGCGGUUCGCGAAGUCAGGAGUGAAAACUCGGGGCUCAACCUCGAGAUUGCUUUUGAAACCAGCGGGCUUGAGUGCAGGAGAGGAAAGUGGAAUUCCCAGUGUAGCGGUGAAAUGCGUAGAUAUUGGGAGGAACACCAGUGGCGAAAGCGGCUUUCUGGCCUGUAACUGACGCUGAGGCGCGAAAGCGUGGGGAGCAAACAGGAUUAGAUACCCUGGUAGUCCACGCCGUAAACGAUGGGUGCUAAGUGUUGGGGGUAUCGACCCCCUCAGUGCUGUAGUUAACGCAAUAAGCACCCCGCCUGGGGAGUACGGUCGCAAGACUGAAACUCAAAGGAAUUGACGGGGGCCCGCACAAGCGGUGGAGCAUGUGGUUUAAUUCGACGCAACGCGAAGAACCUUACCAGGGAUUGACAUCCCCUGACCGGGCAUGAAAGUGUCCUUUCCCUUCGGGGACGGG